AUUUUUUCUUAAUAACAAUUUAUUUCUUUUUUUUUUAAUAUAAAAUAAUAUUAUUAAAUGUUAAAGGCGUGUUUAGUAUUCCAUCAAAAAAAAAAAACUAAUAACAAAUAUAUUUAUUAUAAACUAAAGGAGUCAAAAACAUCUUGUACAAGUAUGUGUUUUAGCUAAAAUUUAACCCUUAAACGGCUUUUUUGUACAUCAUCAUCAACAUGUUUAUAUAAAGGUUCCCCCUGUGUUUUAGCUAAAUAGUCAUUAUUUCUCUAUCUGCUGUUUUAUUAUUAUUAAUUUAUAAUUACUGUACUUUGACGUUAAACUUAAAAAUAAAAAAAAAUUCUUAAAAUUUUUAAUAACACCGAACACCAUCUUUCUUUUCUAGACCUAUUUUCUUUCCACUUUGUUGCUUUUAAAAUCUGUUUUAUUGUAUUAUUUUGAAUUUAAAACUCAUAUUAUUCUAAGCGUUACAUUAAAUUGUUAAACACCAACACGCCCUCACCGCCCAUUUGGUUUCAGAAAUGUUUGUUUUGUUAUAACUGUGUGUUUUUUUCUAUUGACCAUAACUAUACUUUUCAGCCCCUUUUUGUCACAACUAAAUAUUUAUGUUUAAUGCAUUAAACUUUUAGUUUUCAAGGGUGAGGUUUGCCUUUUAUGUAGGCUUUAAAAGAAAUAAAAAUAAAAUAAUAAAAAGAUUGGUCUUUGUAAAAAGUACCACCAAUAAAAAACCUCACCCGCCAAAUAUUUUUAAAAAGAGAUCGAAUAAUUGUUUCAAACUAAAAAAAAGAGAAAAUAAAAUCAAAAUCUUUAAGAGAGAUUUUGAUUAGCAGCAGCAAAUCCAAGGAAGCAGUAUGGAAGCAACUGAAAUUAAAGGAAUGUUAAAUCUUUAAGAGAGACUUUUUGGGUAGCAGCAGCAAAUUCAAUGAAGCAGCUUGGGCGUUACUGGAAUAAAAUGGAAAGUUCGGUGAAUUUAAAGCAGUCAGGUCUGUUAAACUUAACAUCCGAAAAUGGAACCUGGAUUCCCUUAUUACCGACUGAAUUAAGAAGGAUGGUAUUCGAAGUAAAUUGGACUGAUUGGUAAUUGGUAUGAAUACAUUUAAUUGCUUUAUUUUGCAGCAUGGGUGAGGUUUUGACUUUUGUAGGAUUUCCAAAUAAAAAUUGCUUUAAACAAUUGUUUAGUUUUUACAAAAACCUCACCCACCAAAUGUUUUAAAAAAAGAGAUCUAUAGAUACAUAUGUUUUUGCAAUCUCAAAGACGAGAUUGGAACAUGUUUUCAACAAUAUGUUAAAAAAAUGACGGUGAACUUUAACCGAUCACUGCACUCAACAUUGAAAAAAUCAAGAUUAAUAAGAAAUAAUUGUUUUUAUUUUGCAGUAAGCUUUAAGGUAAGGUUUUCAAGAACCUUACCCGCCAAAUUUUUUUUUAAAAGAGAUCGAGUAUUGCUUUUAAACUAAAAAGAAAAUAUAUAAUCAAAAUCAUUAAGAGACCAGCAAAUCCAAGGAAAUAGAAAAAUCGGCGAAGAAAGUUUAUCACUGGUCGAUGAAGAUUUUGUACUCCGGUGAAUGGUAAACAACAUUAUUGAGAAUAAACUUAAUUACUUUAAAGGGUGAGGUUUAACGUUUGUAAGAAUUUAAAAUAAAAAUUAAAAAAAAAUGUUCAGUAUUUAUAAAAACCUCACCCACCAAAUGUUUUAAAAGAGAGAUCGAUAAAUUUGUUUCAAACUAAAAUUUAACGACGAUAUGCGAAGAAAAUGAUAAAUAUCAGAAAAAGUAAAAAUUGAUAGAAAAAAAGGCGCUUUUUUGCAGUUAAUUUCAAUUUAUCACCCGAUAACUGAACUCUCAAGGAAUAAAAAAAUCGAGACUUGAAACUUCAAACUUUUGCUAUAAUCAAUUGGCGAACUUCAUGUAGAAAGAAUAGCCAAAAUCAUUAACUACUUAUCUCUUCACGUGACAUGGAAGAAAACCUCCAUUAAAGCGUAGAAUAGUGAUGUCGAGUAACCAGUUUAAAGGAUUGAAGUUCUUAACUGUGAAAUUAAGAAAGAACCUUUUCCAGCGAAUUAUUUUCCAGCACGAUUUUGAGACAAUUAAAUGCCGACUUUUGGUGAAUAAGAAUUUGGAAAUUAAAGUUUAAAAUCACAUCCAUAAAAAAAAUGUUUAUAAAUAUCUUAGCUAAUAAAUUAUUUGUAUUAUAAUGUAUUGAUAAUGAAAUCGAACAGUUUUGAAAAUCAUGUUCUUAACAGUUAUAAAAAAAAAAUUACUUACACAUUGAUGAGACUGCUUUCAUCAGCCGAUUCUGAUUAGAUUAUUAACAACUUUCCUCCUUUUUUAAUUGAAAUUAUUUCCACAAUUUUUAAAUUAAUUUUUUAUAUAACAUAUAAAAUUUUUAUAUAUUUUUUUCUAUUUAAAAAUAUCGAAUUUUUUUAUAGUAUUUUAACUUUUUCUUUUUUUUCAAUUACACAUGACAUACACAUUAUUUUAUAACACUUUCUGACUAUAUUUCAUUUAUUAUUUACUUACUUUCCUACCAAUAGCUUCAUCUUUAAGUAAAUUAUAACAAUUUAUUCCUAUUUUCUUAAGACUUUUUCUUCCCCUACUAAACUUUCAUAAAUCAAAUCAACCAAACAACAACACACGCACUCUUUAUAAUUUUGAGGAACACACAACGAACGGUCCGAGCAAAAGAAAAUUAACGACCGGCCACGAAAUUUAACUUUAAAUGCCAUUUUUCCUCAUUUCUAUAUAACUUUUUAAGGAAAAUUUUAUUGACAUAUCUUUAAUAACACUUAAUUUAAUAUUUUAUAACAAAAUAUUGAAUUAUAUUUAAUUAUUUUUUUAAAAUAUUUAAUUUAUUCCAACACUUUACCGAAAAAAACAAACAAACCGAGCAAAAUUUCCGUCUGAACUAAAAAACGAAAUAUAUGAACAAGAGAAGCUAAAACAAAUAAAUAAGUAUGUUUUUGUUGUUACUACUACUACUCUUAUUUAGAAAUAGAAAUUUGCAAGAGUACAUGUAAGUUGUUAUUGUAAUGCUCCUACAUUACUACAUUAGUAGUAAUUUCUAAUAAGUGUUGCCAUUUUAUGUUUUUUGUUUUAAGUUCUUCCAUAAGAAAAUAAUAUUAUUGUGGCAACACUACUUUAAUAAAGCAAAACAAUAACAACAACUACACUGCACUCUUAUUCAUUAAUUUUUGUUUUGUUUACAUUUCUUGUAUUUGUGUGUCAGUUUAUGCAAAUUUUUGCAACGUUUCACUUAAUGUGUUAUUAGUUCUAAAGAAAAUUAUAAAUUUAAUAAAGAAAUUCGAAA
Molecule: long non-coding RNA, 3295 nt
Organism: Lucilia cuprina (Australian sheep blowfly)
Lineage: Eukaryota; Metazoa; Arthropoda; Insecta; Diptera; Calliphoridae
Exons: 2
Source: RefSeq, a predicted model, not a curated record